GAUGAACGCUGGCGGCGUGCCUAAUACAUGCAAGUCGAGCGAACAGACGAGGAGCUUGCUCCUUUGACGUUAGCGGCGGACGGGUGAGUAACACGUAGGUAACCUACCUAUAAGACUGGGAUAACUUCGGGAAACCGGAGCUAAUACCGGAUAAUAUUUCGACCCGCAUGGUUCGAUAGUGAAAGAUAGCUUUGCUAUCACUUAUAGAUGGACCUGCGCCGUAUUAGCUAGUUGGUAAGGUAACGGCUUACCAAGGCAGCGAUACGUAGCCGACCUGAGAGGGAGGUCGGCCAGACUGGAACAGAGAAAGGGUACAGACUCCGAGGGGGGGCAGCAGUAGGGAAUCUUCCGCAAGGGGCGAGAGCCGGACGGAGCAACGCCGCGGGAGUGAUGAAGGUCUUCGGAUCGUAGAACUCUGUUAGUAGGGGAGAACAAACGUGUUAGUAACUGUGCACGUCUUGACGGUACCUAAACAGAAAGCCACGGCUAACUACGUG
RNAcentral lists this ribosomal RNA (497 nucleotides) under uncultured bacterium. Its description in RNAcentral is "partial 16S ribosomal RNA". It matches the Rfam family "Bacterial small subunit ribosomal RNA", at positions 28 to 507 of the family's 1533-position model. The record is from RNAcentral.